ACAAAACAUAGGCUCAGUGGUUUACACGGAAGUUUCCUUUUGAACUUGAGUUCUGGGGGAGAAGUCCUUCAUCAAGCUAUAUGAAUUGCACUCUAGAAAUCAAUCCAGAUGUGACAAGCCUACAGGAGUACUGCAAGAACAGCCAACAUAAAAAUGUUCAGUAAAAUUGUUCAGAAGUAAAAGAGUCCCUGAGUGCACUGUCCAAGCCAUUGUGCUUCACUCCAUGUAGCCAAGAUGGAAUCACAGAAUUGUUAAGUUUGGAAAAGACCACUAAAAUCACCAAGUCCAACUGUCAAUCCAUCCUCACCAUGCCCACCAACCACAUCCCUCUGUGCUACAUCUACAUGGUUCUUGAACGCCUCCAGGGGAUAAGGUCUCCCCUGAGCCUCCUCUUCUCCACACUGAACAAUACCAGGUCCCUCAGCUGCUCCUCGUAGGACUUGUGCUCCAGACCCCUCCAGACUAAUAAUAAAGAUAGUUUUCUCAUGUCAAGCUGUUUUAUGUUUCAUUUCCAGUAAUUUUAGAAGCACUUAUAGUUUAAUUGUAUGGAAAAAUAUGACACAAAUCUAGAACUCUGAUUGUAGAAGGCUUUCCUGGAACCUCUAUAUUUGAGGUUUUAUGAAAGCACAAACCAUUUAAUAUUAAGAUAUGUUUGUGCAUAC
Gallus gallus (chicken) is the source of this 662-nucleotide long non-coding RNA. Lineage: Eukaryota; Metazoa; Chordata; Aves; Galliformes; Phasianidae. The record is from Ensembl.